CUACCCUCAAGCUCUGCUUGGUGUUAGCGGAUUGCCCACUGUGGCAACCGCUGAAAAUCAUUAGCGGUAGUACACUAUCCCCCUGUAUAGUCCCCAAUCUUGCAGCGGUCUAGUGGACGAACCAGCCUAAAACAACAGAAAUUAGCAA
This 148-nucleotide unclassified non-coding RNA is filed under the name uncultured soil eukaryote. RNAcentral describes it as "sequence contains ITS2". The record is from RNAcentral.